AGUCGUAACAAGGUUUCCGUAGGUGAACCUGCGGAAGGAUCAUUACUAAACAAAUCCAAAAAUAAUGUUGAACCGUGUGGUGAUUAGUGAUUGGUUGUGCGUGGUGCGGAUGAUGAUUGGUGCGCUACGUUGUUGGUGCUUGUGGGUAUGAGAUAGGCAAUGUGCGCACACCGUGUGUGUGUGUUUAUUGCCCAGCCAUCCCCUCGUAUCAGCAGCAUGCAUUUGUUAUCAAUCAGAUUCUUUCUUCUCACAAACAAUCAAUCACAAAUCACAACAAUUAUAAAACCCAAUCUUGAUGUGCGAAUGGACAACAUAUAACAAAUUAAAUUUAUAAAAAGCAUAACUUUUAACAAUGGAUCUCUUGGCUCUU
Molecule: unclassified non-coding RNA, 370 nt
Filed under: fungal sp.
Lineage: Eukaryota; Fungi
Description: partial internal transcribed spacer region
Rfam family: Eukaryotic small subunit ribosomal RNA (bases 1-45)
Source: RNAcentral